AGUGGGGGAUAACGUAGCGAAAGUUACGCUAAUACCGCAUAUGCCCUGAGGGGGAAAGGUGGGGAUCGCAAGACCUAUCGCUUUCGGAGUGGCCGAUAUCAGAUUAGCUAGUUGGUGGGGUAAAGGCCUACCAAGGCGACGAUCUGUAGCUGGUCUGAGAGGACGACCAGCCACACUGGGACUGAGACACGGCCCAGACUCCUACGGGAGGCAGCAGUGGGGAAUUUUGGACAAUGGGCGCAAGCCUGAUCCAGCCAUGCCGCGUGAGUGAAGAAGGCCUUCGGGUUGUAAAGCUCUUUCAGCCGGAAAGAAAUCGUGCAGGCUAAUAUCCUGCGUGGAUGACGGUACCGGAAGAAGAAGCACCGGCUAACUACGUGCCAGCAGCCGCGGUAAUACGUAGGGUGCGAGCGUUAAUCGGAAUUACUGGGCGUAAAGCGUGCGCAGGCGGUUUUGUAAGACAGACGUGAAAUCCCCGGGCUUAACCUGGGAACUGCGUUUGUGACUGCAAGGCUAGAGUGCGGCAGAGGGGGGUAGAAUUCCA
This 541-nucleotide ribosomal RNA is filed under the name uncultured Gallionellaceae bacterium. Its description in RNAcentral is "bacterial SSU rRNA". It matches the Rfam family "Bacterial small subunit ribosomal RNA", at positions 135 to 671 of the family's 1533-position model. The record is from RNAcentral. Lineage: Bacteria; Pseudomonadati; Pseudomonadota; Betaproteobacteria; Nitrosomonadales; Gallionellaceae.